This 234-nucleotide ribosomal RNA is filed under the name uncultured bacterium. RNAcentral describes it as "partial 16S ribosomal RNA". It matches the Rfam family "Bacterial small subunit ribosomal RNA", at positions 114 to 334 of the family's 1533-position model. The record is from RNAcentral.
CACGUGGAUAAUCUACCUUCUGGUUGGGGAUAACUUCGGGAAACCGGCGCUAAUACCGAAUAAUAUGGCAGUUUCACAAGGAGCAGUCAUCAAAGAUGGGGACCUUCGGGCCUAUCACCAGAAGAUGAGUCCGCGGCCCAUUAGCUUGUUGGUGGGGUAAUGGCCUACCAAGGCUACGAUGGGUAGCCGGCCUGAGAGGGUGAUCGGCCACAUUGGGACUGAGACACGGCCCAG